CCUACGGGCGGCAGCAGUGGGGAAUAUUGCGCAAUGGGCGAAAGCCUGACGCAGCAACGCCGCGUGAGGGAUGAAGGUCUUCGGAUCGUAAACCUCUGUCAGCAGGGAAGAACGGUCACUGUGCUACUCAGCAGUGAAUUUACGGUACCUGCAAAGGAAGCACCGGCUAACUCCGUGCCAGCAGCCGAGGUAAUACGGAGGGUGCGAGCGUUAAUCGGAAUUACUGGGCGUAAAGCGCUCGUAGGCGGUAUGGCAAGUCAAGGGUGAAAUCCCCGCGCUCAACGUGGGAACUGCCUUUGAAACUGGCAAACUGGAGUGGGGGAGAGGAUAGUGGAA
RNAcentral lists this ribosomal RNA (336 nucleotides) under uncultured bacterium. RNAcentral describes it as "partial 16S ribosomal RNA". It matches the Rfam family "Bacterial small subunit ribosomal RNA", at positions 338 to 666 of the family's 1533-position model. The record is from RNAcentral.